GAGGGAGCGAAGCGGCGAGCGGGCUGCAGGCCGAGCAGGGCCAUGCGGCGGUAGUGGCGGCAGACAGGACAGAGCCCUGGCAGGAGAGGCACAGCACGUCAGGGUCUGGCUCUGUCAUAUAGGCUGGAGUGCAGUGGCACGAUCUUGGCUCAUUGCAACCUUCACCUGCCGGAUUGAAGUGAUUCUCCCAUCUCAGCUUCCCAGUAGAGACGGGAUUUCACCGUGUUAGUCAGGAUGGUCUCGAUCUCCUGAUCUCGUGAUCCGCCCACCGUGGACUCCCGAAGUGAUGGGAUUACAGGCAUAAGCCACCGCACCUGAUGAUAUUGUGUCCGGAAUUGGUGGGCUCCUGGUCUCACUGACUUCAAGAAUGAAGCCGCGGACCCUCACACUUGCAGUAAAGACCCUCUGAAGAAUCAUCUGAAAGGGCAUUUGAAAGUCCGUAAACAAAUAGUCUCGGUCUGUCGCCCAGGCUGGAGUGCAGUGGUGCGAUCUCGGCUCACUGCAAGCUCCACCUCCGGGUUCACGCCAUUCUCCUGCCUCAGCCUCCCGAGUAGCUGGGACUACAGGCACCCACCACCACGCCCGGCUAAUUUUUUGAAUUUUUAGUAGAGACGGGGUUUCACCGUCUUAGCCAGGAUGGUCUUAAUCUCCUGACCUCGUGAUCCAACCGCCUCAGCCUCCCAAAGUGAAGACAUAUUCUUAAUAUUUUUCAGGCCUCAUUGCUUGCCACUAAUGAGAACUGGGGGUCAUAAUCUAAUACAAGAAAGAGUGAGAAGACUAGUGGUAACAAAUUAAAAUACCAUGAGAUAUCUUCUGUGAAAAACAAAUCAUGAAUUGUGUACAUUUGUGAAACAUAAAAUAAAUAAAUAAUUACCAA
Molecule: long non-coding RNA, 877 nt
Filed under: Homo sapiens (human)
Lineage: Eukaryota; Metazoa; Chordata; Mammalia; Primates; Hominidae
Description: Novel transcript
Source: RNAcentral